Molecule: small nucleolar RNA, 139 nt
Organism: Panicum virgatum (switchgrass)
Lineage: Eukaryota; Viridiplantae; Streptophyta; Magnoliopsida; Poales; Poaceae
Product: small nucleolar RNA Z247
Exons: 1
Source: RefSeq, a predicted model, not a curated record
CCAUUAGGAGAUGAAGAGUUUAACUCUUAUAUCCUCACCGGUCUUGGUCCUGACUACAACCCCCUCGUGACGUCCAUCGUGACGUGCGUCGAGCCGAUCUCCUUCACUGAACUUCAAGCUCAAAUCCUGAGCUUUGAGC